RNAcentral lists this antisense RNA (503 nucleotides) under Streptosporangium subroseum. RNAcentral describes it as "Saccharopolyspora sRNA 350". It matches the Rfam family "Saccharopolyspora sRNA 350". Lineage: Bacteria; Bacillati; Actinomycetota; Actinomycetes; Streptosporangiales; Streptosporangiaceae. The record is from Rfam by way of RNAcentral.
UUGACGGUGAAAUCCCACUCGGUGUCCGGGCCGAUCAGCGUGUCGUCCCCGAAGUGGGAACCCCCCGCCAGCACUCCCAGCGUCUGGCUGUCACCGUACGGGCCGGUCCUGACCUUCUGGACCUUGCCGUACGCGAUGAGCACGACCUCGUCGGCCGAGCUUCCCGCCUCCAGUAGCACGUCUCCGGGCUGGAAGUCGCGCUGGACGAACUGUCCCGCCAUGGCCUCCAGGGUCUCCAGAUCCCCGAAGCCCCGGAGCAGGGGCAGCUCGCACAGCUCCGCCGGCACCACCGACACCUGCGACCCCACGGUGGUGAAACUCACCUGCCCGUCGCCGAUCAUGUAGCUCAGCCGCCGGUUGACGCGGUAGGUGCCGCCCGACACCUGCACCCACGGCAGCAUUCGCAGCAGCCACCGCGAGGUGAUCUCCUGCAUCUGGGGCGUCGACUUGGUCGUCGUCGCCAGGUUUCGUGCGGCAGCCGUACCCAGGCUCAACUGCGACUG